GAUGAACGCUGGCGGCGUGCUUAAUACAUGCAAGUCGAACGGAAGUUGUAGCAAUACGAUUUUAGUGGCGAACGGGUGAGUAACGCGUUGGUGACCUGCCCCGAAGAGGGGGAUAACAGCUCGAAAGGGCUGCUAAUACCCCAUGAUCUCACGUUGAUUAGAGGCGAAGUGAGGAAAGGAGAAAUCCGCUUUGGGAGGGGCCUGCGUCCCAUCAGCUAGUUGGUAAGGUAAAGGCUUACCAAGGCGACGACGGGUAGGGGACCUGAGAGGGUGGCCCCCCACACUGGCACUGAAACACGGGCCAGACACCUACGGGUGGCAG
Molecule: ribosomal RNA, 322 nt
Filed under: uncultured Chloroflexota bacterium
Lineage: Bacteria; Bacillati; Chloroflexota
Description: bacterial SSU rRNA
Rfam family: Bacterial small subunit ribosomal RNA
Source: RNAcentral